GGUAACUCCUUUCUGAGUACUGGGAUAUGCAGCCACAGUACCAUUUCUGUCAACACGUUGCGUACUCCCUACACUGCUCCUGGUGAGAGUGAGAUUCUGG
This 100-nucleotide small RNA is filed under the name Pongo abelii (Sumatran orangutan). Its description in RNAcentral is "processed transcript". The record is from RNAcentral. Lineage: Eukaryota; Metazoa; Chordata; Mammalia; Primates; Hominidae.